GCCAUGCAUCCAGAGUAGGAGCUAGCUCCUCGCCAACCUGCAACUCCAAAGCAAGGUGGCCAAAUGAUGCGGCAAUCGCAACCAAUUGGAGAACA
Molecule: non-coding RNA, 95 nt
Filed under: unclassified sequences
Description: SAM-I-IV sequence
Rfam family: SAM-I/IV (S-adenosyl methionine) riboswitch aptamer
About the family: It is found upstream of a number of genes which code for proteins involved in methionine or cysteine biosynthesis. It has been found mostly in the order Actinomycetales.
Source: Rfam by way of RNAcentral